UAAGCAUGCUUUCUCCCAUUUUUGUCUGUUCGUUUCAUAAAAAAGAUGGUAUACCAUCCUGGAUUCGCCUGUUUUUUUGAUUUCCUAAAAUGUUCACUGCCCUCAUGCUAUGUCUCUAUUUACUCAACAGAUUAUUUGUUUUUCUAUUCAUGACAGCUGUCUCUAAAGAAAAAUCAAAUUAUUUUACAGAUGUGUCAUAUUGUACUUCUGAAGCAUUACCACUCAGCAACUAGAAUAAUGUGGUUAGAUAGGCUGAAGUGAAUUGAGUGCUUUUUUUUAAGGCCAUUUAGACAUUAAAUGCAUUUAGCUCCCUGCAGAGUUAAGUUUUAGUUAUGUUGUAGACUACAUGAAGACGUACUUGGGAAUGGACAUCUACCCAAUAGCUCAGAUUGCACUCUGCACCAAAGCAGCUUGAGUCUAGACAUGCACAGUAACCCAGUUCCUUCUGGGAGAGACAGUACUCCUGAUAGCCAGUGCUGUACCAGUGCUUUUCACAUGUAUGUUCUGUUUUCAAAAGGAUUUUAAAUCCUCAUUGAACUCUGCUCAGAGAAUCACUUCUGAAAAGAGGGAUUGAAGUUUGCUAGCAAAAAUGUAAGGGUUUGGGGAAAAUAGAUACAUUGUAAUUUAAAAGUAGGUUUGCCUCAGUGCAACAAAAGCACACAGCCUCUGAGCUCACUUGAGGUGAGAGGAGUGGAUAGCUUUAAGUCAAGUCACCAGGUGUUAAGUUUGUACUGUGAAUAGAGGGGAGACUGAGCAUCUAAGCUACAGCAGCCCAUCAAGGGCCAAUCUGGUCACUAUGUGCUGCUAAUCUUAUUCUCUGCAAUUAUUCUUUCCAGCCCCAGUGCUUCAGCUAGCAUAAUUGUGGUUUGUUACCUGCAACUCUUCCUCCCAUUCAAUACUCUCUGAAAAUAUUAAUGUCAAGCCUGAGUUUCAGUUGUGGCCCUAGUCCUGGCCUAGGAGGAGAGGAUGGCCAACACUACAGUCAGAUGCUUGGACUGACAAGGAAUGAAGAUCUUUCCUGAGGAUUUAUACCAUACCAGGUCAUUUCUCAUAUUCAUGGUUAAUCUAGAAUAAAGUCAGAAAACAACUCGACUUUUUCUGACAAACAUCCAACAAAUGUUAUAGUCGUACCAGUUGCAGCUUUCUGGGGCUGGCUAUUCUUGAUACAGCACAGCACAGUCCAGUGGAUAUCAAGCAUCCCAGAUAUCAUGAUCAGAAAAACUCUGAAACACUGAUGAAUGCAUCAGUGAAAGGACCACGUUAUAGUUUAUUGCAAGGCAGGGGUUUUGUUGGGCUUUUGGGGUUUAGACUUGUUUUCGUUUCAAAAAUGACCUAACAGGAAAUAUAAACAGGCUUUUGCAGAACUGCAUGAAAAUUAGUCUUUAUCUUUCAUCAUAUUUGCUAGCAGAUAUGUUUUAUAAUAAACAGUAUAAGUGACACUGGGGAAACAAUACAGAUGAACAUGAACCCAUGAAACAAUGAUGCAAAUUAUUAUAAGGAGCUCUUACUGGAGACUGACUUUAUUCAUUUUGUCUUCUUCUGCACAUAUGUGCACUUUCACUGAGAAAAAGGGCAUUCCAUUCCAAUUUUGCUAUGACAAGUAAACCUUAGUUUAUUUUAGAAACCAUUAGUGUCUUCACUUAAAAAAAAUUCUAUGUUUAAAUUUUGCAUAUUUUUUUUUACAAUGGAAUUCUUACCACUCUGGGCCAGUGGUUUAACAUACAUCCUUCACACAUCCUUAACAAUUUUUGAAAUUCACACAAAUCCUAGAGAAGCUAGACAUCAAUCUUAGCACUACAUGGGAAGUGGGGGAAAAAAAAGAGAAAAACCUGGAGUAAGAGAACAAGUGGAUUGCCAUUGAGUUUCUUGUGAUAAAAUGGUAUUAUUUUUUUCCAGUGUAAAAUGGUAUUUUAUUCCACAUAUGAGUGUGCACAUCUAUGCUAAUGUACAUUAUAUAAAAAGAAAGAUUCAUUUAUUCCUUGUGCACUUCUUCCUGGCAGGCCUGUUUCUACAGAAUAAGCAGACAUGUGUGUAAGGCUGUAUCUUUUAAGCAAGACAAACCUCAGCUGAAGGGUAUUUGACAGAGAUGUCACGGACAUUUGUCAGUUACAUUUCACUUAAAACCAAUCAAUUUCUUUUCCCUUGGUCCCUCUUCACCUGUCAUCUCUAAUCAUCAUCUAUAAUCAUCUAUAAUCAUCUCUUUCACUGACACCACUUCAGCUUGGAUGAUGAUCUAUUUCAGGCAGUUUUUUAAAAA
Parus major (Great Tit) is the source of this 2257-nucleotide long non-coding RNA. RefSeq lists it as uncharacterized. NCBI's taxonomy places the organism in Eukaryota, Metazoa, Chordata, Aves, Passeriformes, Paridae. The record is from RefSeq and is a predicted model, not a curated record. The transcript has 3 exons.